Molecule: long non-coding RNA, 1334 nt
Filed under: Triticum aestivum (bread wheat)
Lineage: Eukaryota; Viridiplantae; Streptophyta; Magnoliopsida; Poales; Poaceae
Description: long non-coding RNA (TAES_LNC007547)
Rfam family: MIR1120/MIR1122 microRNA precursor family (bases 491-625)
Source: RNAcentral
UCAAAUCAACUUGUUGAAUAAGGUUCAUGUUAUGCACAGUAUAUAUAUAUGUUUUCCAUCUUGGAAAAUCCAUGAUUCACUCUGUACCUAGAGUUGUUCUCGUAUAAAUACGUGUUGGAUGAAUGCCUCAACGUGAGACAACAAGCUACAGAAGUACAUGAUGUCUCUGUUCAUUCUGUUCCAAAACUGAGGUGGCACAGCUUCUGAAGAUAGUGCAUACUACGUUGGUCAUCUUGUACAUAUAUGGGGGGCUUUCUGCAAAUUUGACAAGAUUAGUCCUCCGCAUUCCAUUCUGUACCUAGAUUUUCAAUCUGACGGUUGUGCAGCACUCAGUGCAGCCGGAGUACUCUAUGACCGGGAGUACAGGAUAUGUUCUCGCCCGCGCCCAUGAGAACGUCGACAGCCGCGAGCCUAGCGAAGACCAAGGUGAGCGCAUCGAGAGGCAGCUCCAUUACCCUUGGAACACCUGAAAACAAAGGUUGGUGUCAAAGAGCUACUUCCUCCGUCCGGAAAUACUUGUCAUCAAAAUGAAUAAAAGGGGAUGUAUCUAGAUGUAUUUUAGUUCUAGAUACAUCUCUUUUUAUCCAUUUUGAUGACGAGUAUUUCCGGACGAAAGGAGUACUAGGUAGUGUAAACACUGUAAGAGCAUGGUUAAUAGAAGAGCCCGCAACCGGCUAUAUACUAGUGCCACAUCAUCUUAUAGUCUUCCUAAGAGCAAGUACAAUAAGGUGAUGUAGGCGGGCUGUAAAACAUUAAAUAUUAUAUUCUUGCUUACUUGAAAGAGAGAGAGGAGGAGAGAGAAGAGAAGCGGGCUACUAGUUAACAGCCGGCUGCAGCACGUACUCCUAGGUACUUUGUGAGAGAGUGGGAUAGACCAUGUAUCAACAAAGUAGUACAUAUUUAUAUCUAGCUAUUGUACUUGUUGGCUAUAAGCUUGACUAUAUGUGACAUGACAACAUCAUAUAGCCAGCAGCUAACUAUAUUAUUAACCAUGCUCUAAAGCCAUACUCAUACAAUAGACUGGCUAUAGAUUAAUGACUAGGCAAGCUAUAGCAUUCAAUGCUUGCAUGUGGACUCAGGAAAAGGGACUCACAUGAUUCGUAGGUGGGAAGAAACGUUGGCUUUUAGCCUUCACACAGGCUGCAUGCUGGCUACAUGUGCUCGUAUAUUGUGCUGCAGCCGGGCGCUAGAUGAAGCGCCGGCUCUCAUCUCUCUCCUACCUCCUCUCUCCUCCAGCUGUGAUUUUACUGAUGUGGCAUGGCUUAUAGCCAGUUGAGUAGAAUCUAUUAUACUUGCUCUAAAGAGCUGAUGGGUCUAAAGAACCUUGACGACGG